UCCCUUCGAUAAGUAGUGUGAAUUGCAGAAUUCAGUGAAUCAUCGAAUCUUUGAACGCACAUUGCGCCCCUUGGUAUUCCAUGGGGCAUGCCUGUUCGAGCGUCAUUUGUACCCUCAAGCUCUGCUUGGUGUUGGGUGUUUGUCCCCGUCUCCGCGCGUGGACUCGCCCCAAAGUGAUUGGCAGCCGGCGUACUGGUCCCGGAGCGCAGCACAUGUCGCGCAAACGAGUGCCUUGGUACGGCGGCGUCCAUAAGCCCCUCUCUCACGCUCUUGACCUCGGAUCAGGUAGGGAUACCCGCUGAACUUAAGC
Molecule: unclassified non-coding RNA, 310 nt
Filed under: plant metagenome
Description: partial contains 5.8S ribosomal RNA, internal transcribed spacer 2, and large subunit ribosomal RNA
Rfam family: 5.8S ribosomal RNA (bases 1-105)
Source: RNAcentral